ACGAACGCUGGCGGCGUGCUUAACACAUGCAAGUCGAACGGUGAAGCGCCUUCCUUUUUGGUGGGUGUGGAUGAGUGGCGAACGGGUGAGUAACACGUGAGUAACCUGCCCCCUUCUUCUGGAUAACCGCAUGAAAGUGUGGCUAAUACGGGAUAUUCUGGGUCUGUCGCAUGAUGGGUCUGGGAAAGAUAUUGUUUCGGUGGGGGAUGGGCUCGCGGCCUAUCAGCUUGUUGGUGGGGUGAUGGCCUACCAAGGCGGUGACGGGUAGCCGGCCUGAGAGGCGGGGCGGACACACGGGGACUAAGACGCGCCUGAGACUCCGACGGGAGGCAGCAGUGGGGGAUAUUGGACGGGGGGAGUAGGGUUGAUGCAGCGCGGCCGCGUGGGAGAUGGCGGCCUUCGUGUUGGGAUCGUCUUUCGUGAGAGGAGCAGGCCGGCCUCGUUUGUGGGUGGCUUGACGGUAGCGGAAUAAAAAGAGCGGGCUAGCUACGUG
This 493-nucleotide ribosomal RNA is filed under the name uncultured bacterium. RNAcentral describes it as "partial 16S ribosomal RNA". It matches the Rfam family "Bacterial small subunit ribosomal RNA", at positions 29 to 507 of the family's 1533-position model. The record is from RNAcentral.